Molecule: transfer RNA, 69 nt
Filed under: Marmota monax (woodchuck)
Lineage: Eukaryota; Metazoa; Chordata; Mammalia; Rodentia; Sciuridae
Description: tRNA.Ala
Source: RNAcentral
GGGGUUGUGGCUCAGUGGUAGACCGCUCGCCUAGCAUGUGUGAGUCACUGGAUUCGAUCCUCAGCAUCA